Molecule: ribosomal RNA, 484 nt
Filed under: uncultured bacterium
Lineage: Bacteria
Description: partial 16S ribosomal RNA
Rfam family: Bacterial small subunit ribosomal RNA
Source: RNAcentral
AUUGAACGCUGGCGGCAGGCCUAACACAUGCAAGUCGAGCGGAUGAAGGGAGCUUGCUCCUGGAUUCAGCGGCGGACGGGUGAGUAAUGCCUAGGAAUCUGCCUGGUAGUGGGGGAUAACGUCCGGAAACGGGCGCUAAUACCGCAUACGUCCUGAGGGAGAAAGUGGGGGAUCUUCGGACCUCACGCUAUCAGAUGAGCCUAGGUCGGAUUAGCUAGUUGGUGGGGUAAAGGCCUACCAAGGCGACGAUCCGUAACUGGUCUGAGAGGAUGAUCAGUCACACUGGAACUGAGACACGGUCCAGACUCCUACGGGAGGCAGCAGUGGGGAAUUUUGGACAAUGGGCGAAAGCCUGAUCCAGCCAUGCCGCGUGUGUGAAGAAGGUCUUCGGAUUGUAAAGCACUUUAAGUUGGGAGGAAGGGCAGUAAGUUAAUACCUUGCUGUUUUGACGUUACCAACAGAAUAAGCACCGGCUAACUUCAUG